UUCAGGCCUAACACAUGCAAGUCGAGCGCGUCCCUUCGGGGGCGAGCGGCGCACGGGUAGUAACGCGUGGGAACCUACCCUGGGGUAGGGGAUAACCGCUGGAAACGGCGGCUAAUACCCUAUACGUCCUGAGGGAGAAAGAUUUAUCGCCCUGGGAUGGGCCCGCGUCGGAUUAGCUAGUUGGUGGGGUAACGGCUCACCAAGGCGACGAUCCGUAGCUGGUCUGAGAGGAUGAUCAGCCACACUGGGACUGAGACACGGCCCAGACUCCUACGGGAGGCAGCAGUGGGGAAUAUUGGACAAUGGGCGCAAGCCUGAUCCAGCCAUGCCGCGUGAGUGAAGAAGGCCCUAGGGUUGUAAAGCUCUUUCACCCGCGAAGAUGAUGACANC
RNAcentral lists this ribosomal RNA (390 nucleotides) under uncultured bacterium. RNAcentral's name for it is "bacterial SSU rRNA". It matches the Rfam family "Bacterial small subunit ribosomal RNA", at positions 41 to 458 of the family's 1533-position model. The record is from RNAcentral.